UGGGGAAUAUUGGACAAUGGGCGCAAGCCUGAUCCAGCCAUGCCGCGUGAGUGAUGAAGGCCCUAGGGUUGUAAAGCUCUUUCACCGGUGAAGAUAAUGACGGUAACCGGAGAAGAAGCCCCGGCUAACUUCGUGCCAGCAGCCGCGGUAAUACGAAGGGGGCUAGCGUUGUUCGGAUUUACUGGGCGUAAAGCGCACGUAGGCGGACUAUUAAGUCAGGGGUGAAAUCCCGGGGCUCAACCCCGGAACUGCCUUUGAUACUGGUAGUCUUGAGUUCGAGAGAGGUGAGUGGAAUUCCGAGUGUAGAGGUGAAAUUCGUAGAUAUUCGGAGGAACACCAGUGGCGAAGGCGGCUCACUGACUCGAUACUGACGCUGAGGUGCGAAAGCGUGGGGAGCAAACAGG
This 404-nucleotide ribosomal RNA is filed under the name Actinomycetes bacterium. Its description in RNAcentral is "Actinobacteria bacterium partial 16S ribosomal RNA". It matches the Rfam family "Bacterial small subunit ribosomal RNA", at positions 355 to 776 of the family's 1533-position model. The record is from RNAcentral. Lineage: Bacteria; Bacillati; Actinomycetota; Actinomycetes.